RNAcentral lists this unclassified non-coding RNA (647 nucleotides) under Hevea brasiliensis (rubber tree). Lineage: Eukaryota; Viridiplantae; Streptophyta; Magnoliopsida; Malpighiales; Euphorbiaceae. The record is from RNAcentral.
CCAAUCACCACAACUAUUACCUCAAAAACCAUUUUAGAUACAAGCAACCGGCCAUUUUUUCAGCCUCAUCAUUUGAUUCAAAGCAGCUGGAAACACCCAGUUUUGUAAAUAGCUUGAGAUUGUCUUCGUCCAUAAAAAAGGUAAUAGCUUUUCCCCACCUAGUUAGUCCACAGCCAAACUCUUAUAAAACAAGAGUUGUGUAGUUUAGCAAGCUCAGAAACAAUCCAAUAGCACGUUGGUUUUCGAUUUUCCAGAUCAAAACAAAAAGAAAAAUAUACAUAAACAGAGAGGGAAAGGACAGAACCUUAAGAUCGAUGUUGGUACGGGUAAAAAGGAAGGGAUUAAAUUCGGGAUCUUGCUGAAUGUUUUUCCACUUGCCAGUGCCGUGUUUGGCUACUCCUGCUCUUAGCGCUUCUUCUUCCUCCGAAGUCCAUUUCUGUUUCCGAUUUCCCAUCCCUCUCUGCAACCUUCAAUCUUUCCGACCUAUCAGCGAGGUUUGUACAUGGCAACUUUCUUCACUCUCUGCCACCCAACGGAAACCGUUUAAUGUGUCAGCCCUAAGUUUUUGCAAUUUAAGCCAAAAACGACGUCGUUUGCUCUAAUGCAGACGACCAAAACGAGGUCGUUGUACUUUCCUAGACUACUAG